Long non-coding RNA from Balaenoptera musculus (blue whale), 663 nucleotides. RefSeq lists it as uncharacterized. NCBI's taxonomy places the organism in Eukaryota, Metazoa, Chordata, Mammalia, Artiodactyla, Balaenopteridae. The transcript is spliced from 2 exons. The record is from RefSeq and is a predicted model, not a curated record.
CAAGAAGCCAGACACACCCGUAUGGCUGGCCACCUGUGCGUGCGAGCCACGCCAAGGCACUGCACCGCAGGGGAGCCGGGGGCUGCUGCAGUGUCUCGGGAAGCUCCCUGCGGGUGAGCUCACCAUGGGGUUUCAGGCCUUCAGCUCUUGUACCUUCCAGAAACGGCUCCCGGCUCCUGGGUGUGCGGCGCCAGGAGUGGCAGAUGCCAGGAGCACGGGUCCAAGCAGGGAGGCCGGUGCCACCCGUUGGCUGGCUCGAAUCACACACUGCCCUCUCAUUAUAAAGACAGUACCGUAUCAACGCUACUGAAAGCGGUAUUAAUCAGUGAGGCUGGUAAUUCUCCUGGAACGCGAUCUGGAAUACACUCCCAGAGGAUUCAUCCUACCCCACGGCUGCUCUGGGGUGAACUGCCCGGGCCUACCGCCUUCUCACUGACCAGCCCCUGUGGGCGGGUCUCGGCCACUGGCAGCCUGUUCCUCUUACGGGGGCAGUGGUGCCCCAAACGACACCCUAACCCUCUUGUGCCUGCUCCCAGGCCCGGGACACAGCAGCCAGCAGCCUUGUAUCUCAACAAGCAACCAUGACGGAACACAUUCCAACAGCAUCCACUCUUUAUGGAAGUAACUGAUCCACCAAGUGAAAAAAAAAAAAAAAAAAAAAAA